This 468-nucleotide ribosomal RNA is filed under the name uncultured bacterium. RNAcentral's name for it is "partial 16S ribosomal RNA". It matches the Rfam family "Bacterial small subunit ribosomal RNA", at positions 28 to 507 of the family's 1533-position model. The record is from RNAcentral.
GACGAACGCUGGCGGCGUGCUUAACACAUGCAGGUCGAACGGAAAGGCCCUGCUUUUGUGGGGUGCUCGAGUGGCGAACGGGUGAGUAACACGUGAGUAACCUGCCCUUGACUUUGGGAUAACUUCAGGAAACUGGGGCUAAUACCGGAUAGGAGCUCCUGCUGCAUGGUGGGGGUUGGAAAGUUUCGGCGGUUGGGGAUGGACUCGCGGCUUAUCAGCUUGUUGGUGGGGUAGUGGCUUACCAAGGCUUUGACGGGUAGCCGGCCUGAGAGGGUGACCGGCCACAUUGGGACUGAGAUACGGCCCAGACUCCUACGGGAGGCAGCAGUGGGGAAUAUUGAACAAUGGGCGGAAGCCUGAUGCAGCAACGCCGCGUGCGGGAUGACGGCCUUCGGGUUGUAAACCGCUUUCGCCUGUGACGAAGCGUGAGUGACGGUAAUGGGUAAAGAAGCACCGGCUAACUACGUG